RNAcentral lists this ribosomal RNA (458 nucleotides) under uncultured bacterium. RNAcentral's name for it is "bacterial SSU rRNA". It matches the Rfam family "Bacterial small subunit ribosomal RNA", at positions 28 to 484 of the family's 1533-position model. The record is from RNAcentral.
GAUGAACGCUGGCGGCGUGCUUAACACAUGCAAGUCGAACGAAACACCUUAUUUGAUUUUCUUCGGAACUGAAGAUUUGGUGAUUGAGUGGCGGACGGGUGAGUAACGCGUGGGUAACCUGCCCUGUACAGGGGGAUAACAGUCAGAAAUGACUGCUAAUACCGCAUAAGACCACAGCACCACAUGGUGCAGGGGUAAAAACUCCGGUGGUACAGGAUGGACCCGCGUCUGAUUAGCUGGUUGGUGAGGUAACGGCUCACCAAGGCGACGAUCAGUAGCCGGCUUGAGAGAGUGAACGGCCACAUUGGGACUGAGACACGGCCCAAACUCCUACGGGAGGCAGCAGUGGGGAAUAUUGCACAAUGGGGGAAACCCUGAUGCAGCGACGCCGCGUGAGUGAAGAAGUAUCUCGGUAUGUAAAGCUCUAUCAGCAGGGAAGAAAAUGACGGUACCUGACU